AUUGAACGCUGGCGGCAGGCCUAACACAUGCAAGUCGAAUGGUAACAGGAAACAGCUUGCUGUUUCGCUGACGAGUGGCGGACGGGUGAGUAAUGUCUGGGAAACUGCCUGAUGGAGGGGGAUAACUACUGGAAACGGUAGCUAAUACCGCAUAACGUCGCAAGACCAAAGAGGGGGACCUUCGGGCCUCUUGCCAUCAGAUGUGCCCAGAUGGGAUUAGCUAGUAGGUGGGGUAACGGCUCACCUAGGCGACGAUCCCUAGCUGGUCUGAGAGGAUGACCAGCCACACUGGAACUGAGACACGGUCCAGACUCCUACGGGAGGCAGCAGUGGGAAUAUUGCACAAUGGGCGCAAGCCUGAUGCAGCCAUGCCGCGUGUAUGAAGAAGGCCUUCGGGUUGUAAAGUACUUUCAGCGGGGAGGAAGGGAGUAAAGUUAAUACCUUUGCUCAUUGACGUUACCCGCAGAAGAAGCACCGGCUAACUCCGUG
RNAcentral lists this ribosomal RNA (489 nucleotides) under uncultured bacterium. Its description in RNAcentral is "partial 16S ribosomal RNA". It matches the Rfam family "Bacterial small subunit ribosomal RNA", at positions 30 to 507 of the family's 1533-position model. The record is from RNAcentral.